UACGGAGGAUGCGAGCGUUAUCCGGAUUUAUUGGGUUUAAAGGGUGCGUAGGCGGAUCAAUAAGUCAGUGGUGAAAUUCUGCAGCUUAACUGUAGACUUGCCAUUGAUACUGUUGGUCUUGAGUAUGGUCAAGGUAGGCGGAAUGUGUAAUGUAGCGGUGAAAUGCUUAGAUAUUACACAGAACACCGAUUGCGAAGGCAGCUUGCUGGGCCAAUACUGACGCUGAUGCACGAAAGCGUGGGGAUCGAAC
This 250-nucleotide ribosomal RNA is filed under the name uncultured bacterium. RNAcentral's name for it is "partial 16S ribosomal RNA". It matches the Rfam family "Bacterial small subunit ribosomal RNA", at positions 524 to 773 of the family's 1533-position model. The record is from RNAcentral.